Molecule: non-coding RNA, 402 nt
Organism: Paramuricea clavata
Lineage: Eukaryota; Metazoa; Cnidaria; Anthozoa; Malacalcyonacea; Plexauridae
Source: the annotation of a GenBank genome assembly
GUCAGACCAGGUUGUAUUCGUGGGAGCAUAUUGUUAUACUUUUGCCUCGGCCCAUGUCAGAAAAGAGUUUCCACAGACACACGGGACGCGAUUUUUCACCGACCGAUAACUAUUUGAUCCUGGUUUAAGUUUUUCAAAUAUUUAGAAGCGCUAUAACAUUUUUUGGUCCACAUAUCUUUUAAAAUUUCCUUUCAUUGGCUGUUUUAUUAACUUUACAAACUCAAAAAUCGUGCAUGCCUCGUUGUCGAAUCGCGUCCGCGGUGUUUCUCGGCCUUGAAACUACGAAGCGUCGCAGGUUUCUUCUCGAAUAGCAACACGAGUUCAAUUCAGAGUUGUAGACUCGAGUCGUGUGACUUGGACUCGAGUCGCAAUUUUUGUGACUUGUGACUUGACUUGUUAAAG